This 465-nucleotide ribosomal RNA is filed under the name Vreelandella stevensii. RNAcentral describes it as "partial 16S ribosomal RNA". It matches the Rfam family "Bacterial small subunit ribosomal RNA", at positions 338 to 795 of the family's 1533-position model. The record is from RNAcentral. Lineage: Bacteria; Pseudomonadati; Pseudomonadota; Gammaproteobacteria; Oceanospirillales; Halomonadaceae.
CCUACGGGGGGCAGCAGUGGGGAAUAUUGGACAAUGGGCGAAAGCCUGAUCCAGCCAUGCCGCGUGUGUGAAGAAGGCCUUCGGGUUGUAAAGUACUUUCAGUGGGGAAGAAAGCCUUGGGGCUAAUACCCUCGAGGAAGGACAUCACCCACAGAAGAAGCACCGGCUAACUCCGUGCCAGCAGCCGCGGUAAUACGGAGGGUGCGAGCGUUAAUCGGAAUUACUGGGCGUAAAGCGCGCGUAGGCGGUCUGAUAAGCCGGUUGUGAAAGCCCCGGGCUCAACCUGGGAACGGCAUCCGGAACUGUCAGGCUAGAGUGCAGGAGAGGAAGGUAGAAUUCCCGGUGUAGCGGUGAAAUGCGUAGAGAUCGGGAGGAAUACCAGUGGCGAAGGCGGCCUUCUGGACUGACACUGACGCUGAGGUGCGAAAGCGUGGGUAGCAAACAGGAUUAGAUACCCCGGUAGUC